AGUGAACGCUGGCGGUAGGCCUAACACAUGCAAGUCGAACGGCAGCACAGUAAGAGCUUGCUCUUACGGGUGGCGAGUGGCGGACGGGUGAGGAAUACAUCGGAAUCUACUUUUUCGUGGGGGAUAACGUAGGGAAACUUACGCUAAUACCGCAUACGACCUACGGGUGAAAGCAGGGGAUCUUCGGACCUUGCGCGAUUGAAUGAGCCGAUGUCGGAUUAGCUAGUUGGCGGGGUAAAGGCCCACCAAGGCGACGAUCCGUAGCUGGUCUGAGAGGAUGAUCCGCCACACUGGAAAUGAGACACGGUCCAGACUCCUACGGGAGGCAGCAGUGGGGAAUAGUGGACAAUGGGCGCAAGCCUGAUCCAGCCAUACCGCGUGGGUGAAGAAGGCCUUCGGGUUGUAAAGCCCUUUUGUUGGGAAAGAAAAGCAGCAGGUUAAUACCCCGCUGUUCUGACGGUACCCAAAGAAUAAGCACCGGCUAACUUCGUG
This 492-nucleotide ribosomal RNA is filed under the name uncultured bacterium. RNAcentral's name for it is "partial 16S ribosomal RNA". It matches the Rfam family "Bacterial small subunit ribosomal RNA", at positions 29 to 507 of the family's 1533-position model. The record is from RNAcentral.